RNAcentral lists this long non-coding RNA (1188 nucleotides) under Homo sapiens (human). Its description in RNAcentral is "non-protein coding lnc-INO80E-2:1". The record is from RNAcentral. Lineage: Eukaryota; Metazoa; Chordata; Mammalia; Primates; Hominidae.
CGCCCCUGGAGCGCCUCCUGUUACACGGCAGUGCACAAAGCAGACCAGUGCCUGCCCUCACAGAGCUCACAGUCUAGCAAGAUAGGCAGAAAACACACCAGAAAAGUAGGUACUUGUGGAGAAGAACAGAGCGAGGUCCAGAGCAUGGGGACGCCAGGGGGACGAGGCUGACACUUAGGGCCCAGCAGUCUGGGAUGUUCUUGAUCAGAGACUUACAGGAAAUGGCAGCAAGCUGUGUGGCUCCUGGGCAGUGUUUCUGUCGGGCAGAGUCUGUGUUUGGGAGAAAAGUAAGCAGGGAAUUGGGUCCCGGAGCAGGUCAGAGGGGGAGCUCAUGAGGUGCCAGUGUGCAGGAUUCGCUGUGAAUGAAGCCUUGGAGACAGCAGUUCCCUGGCGGGGCGCAGGUUGCAGGUGUGGAGGGGGAGUGAUCUAAUUGCAUCUUAACAAAAUUGCAGACACUGGUGGUCAGAGAACAGACUGAGCGGUGGAGUGAGUUGGGACGGGAGUGAGGAGGCCACCACGGUAAACCAGGCCAAGGGCAGAGGGUCCAGAGGGAGCUGCGGACCCAUUUCAGAGAAUGAGCAUGGGAGUUCCUGGAGGACCUGGUGUGGGCUGUGCGGGAGAGAGGCCAGGAUGCCUCCAGGGCUUUAGUCUGAGCACGAGUGGAGUCUCCCUCCCUGGAGAUGGGAGGGCUGUGGGACCACAGGCUUGGAGGAAAACUGAGUCUGGCCGCGGAUGUGUCAGAUGCCAUCUGGAAAGGCAGCUAGAUAGCGGCCCGUGAGGGGCUGCGCAUUUGGAAGCCGCCAGGCUGGCGGUAGAUGCAAGCCUUGGGAGAGAUGGGGAUGGGCUGAGGGGCAGAGCGGAGUGGGGACCAACUGGGCGGCUCCCAGGGUUCUGGAGCCAGAAGCAGAAUGAGAGGCCGCAUUUGCGGUGGUCUGGAGUACAGGAUCUGGAGCUCUAAUCCCAACUCUGCCGUUUUCUCCGUGUGACCUUGGCCCUGUGAGGCUUCACCUCUUGAGCCUGAGAAGCAGAGGGGAGCGGGAGUCCCUGAAGGGCCAGGGGAGUGAGGAGAUGGAAGGAAGGGAGUCCAAGCAGAGGAAGGAUAGCUGUGAAGACAGAAGCAGUGGCGGCAUUGUGCGGAGAAUGUGAGUGAAGGGAUGAAAAUCGCUCGGCCCGUGCCUGGCCCCUAGU